RNAcentral lists this ribosomal RNA (501 nucleotides) under uncultured bacterium. RNAcentral describes it as "bacterial SSU rRNA". It matches the Rfam family "Bacterial small subunit ribosomal RNA", at positions 28 to 530 of the family's 1533-position model. The record is from RNAcentral.
GAUGAACGCUGGCGGCGUGCCUCAAACAUGCAAGUCGAGCGGGGCUAUGUAAUAUCGCAAGGUAGAACAUAGCCUAGCGGCGAACGGGUGAGUAACACGUGGGUAACCUGCCUGGAAGACAGGGAUAACGAUUCGAAAGGGUCGCUAAUACCUGAUAAUAUCCUUUCAUCGCAUGGUGAUAGGAAGAAAGGGGAAACCCGCUUUCAGAUGGGCCCGCGUCCCAUCAGCUAGUUGGUAAGGUAAAGGCUUACCAAGGCGACGACGGGUAGCCGGUCUGAGAGGAUGUACGGCCACACUGGGACUGAGAUACGGCCCAGACUCCUACGGGAGGCAGCAGUUGGGAAUCUUAGGCAAUGGACGAAAGUCUGACCUAGCGACGCCGCGUGAGGGAAGAAGGCCUUCGGGUUGUAAACCUCUGUCAUGGGGGAAGAAGUAAGUGACGGUACCCAAGAGGAAGCCCCUGCUAACUACGUGCCAGCAGCCGACGGUAAAAGUCUCUAU